AGUUUGAUCCUGGCUCAGGAUGAACGCUAGCUGCAGGCUUAACACAUGCAAGUCGAGGGGCAGCAUUGGAGUAGCAAUACUUCAGAUGGCGACCGGCGCACGGGUGAGUAACACGUAUCCAACCUGCCGCUUACUCGGGGAUAGCCUUUCGAAAGAAAGAUUAAUACCCGAUGGUAUAAAGAGUUCGCAUGUUCUCUUUAUUAAAGAAUUUCGGUAAGCGAUGGGGAUGCGUUCCAUUAGAUAGUUGGCGGGGUAACGGCCCACCGAGUCUACGAUGGAUAGGGGUUCUGGGAGGAAGGUCCCCCACAUUGGAACUGAGACACGGUCCAAACUCCUACGGGAGGCAGCAGUGAGGAAUAUUGGUCAAUGGACGAGAGUCUGAACCAGCCAAGUAGCGUGAAGGAUGACUGCCCUAUGGGUUGUAAACUUCUUUUAUAAGGGAAUAAAGUGAGGGACGUGUCCCUUUUUGUAUGUACCUUAUGAAUAAGGAUCGGCUAACUCCGUGCCAGCAGCCGCGGUAAUACGGAGGAUCCAAGCGUUAUCCGGAUUUAUUGGGUUUAAAGGGAGCGUAGGUUGACAUAUAAGUCAGCUGUGAAAGUUUACGGCUCAACCGUGAAAUUGCAGUUGAUACUGUAUGUCUUGAGUGUACAAGAGGUGGGCGGAAUUCGUGGUGUAGCGGUGAAAUGCUUAGAUAUCACGAAGAACUCCAAUUGCGAAGGCAGCUCACUGGGGUACAACUGACACUGAGGCUCGAAAGUGUGGGUAUCAAACAGGAUUAGAUACCCUGGUAGUCCACACAGUAAACGAUGAAUACUCGCUGUUUGCGAUAUACAGUAAGCGGCCAAGCGAAAGCAUUAAGUAUUCCACCUGGGGAGUACGCCGGCAACGGUGAAACUCAAAGGAAUUGACGGGGGCCCGCACAAGCGGAGGAACAUGUGGUUUAAUUCGAUGAUACGCGAGGAACCUUACCCGGGCUUGAAUUGCAGAGGAACAUAGUUGAAAAAUUAUGGCCGCAAGGUCUCUGUGAAGGUGCUGCAUGGUUGUCGUCAGCUCGUGCCGUGAGGUGUCGGCUUAAGUGCCAUAACGAGCGCAACCCUUAUCAUUAGUUACUAACAGGUCAUGCUGAGGACUCUAGUGAGACUGCCGUCGUAAGAUGUGAGGAAGGUGGA
This 1169-nucleotide ribosomal RNA is filed under the name uncultured Bacteroides sp. RNAcentral describes it as "bacterial SSU rRNA". It matches the Rfam family "Bacterial small subunit ribosomal RNA", at positions 10 to 1177 of the family's 1533-position model. The record is from RNAcentral. Lineage: Bacteria; Pseudomonadati; Bacteroidota; Bacteroidia; Bacteroidales; Bacteroidaceae.